Non-coding RNA from Biscogniauxia sp. FL1348, 96 nucleotides. The record is from the annotation of a GenBank genome assembly. Lineage: Eukaryota; Fungi; Ascomycota; Sordariomycetes; Xylariales; Xylariaceae.
GGCUCAGUGGUCUAGUCGUAUGAUCCUUGCUUCGGGUAACUCCCUUUCACUAAAAGUGGAUGCAAGGGGUCCCGGGUUCAAAUCCCGGCUGAGCCC